AUCGCUAGUAAUCGCGGAUCAGCAUGCCGCGGUGAAUACGUUCCCAGGCCUUGUACACACCGCCCGUCACACCAUGGGAGUUGGAUUCACCCGAAGGCGUUGCGCCAACCCGUAAGGGAAGCAGGCGACCACGGUGGGUUCAGCGACUGGGGUGAAGUCGUAACAAGGUAGCCGUAGGGGAACCUGCGGCUGGAUCACCUCCUUU
Molecule: ribosomal RNA, 205 nt
Filed under: Halothiobacillus sp.
Lineage: Bacteria; Pseudomonadati; Pseudomonadota; Gammaproteobacteria; Chromatiales; Halothiobacillaceae
Description: partial 16S ribosomal RNA
Rfam family: Bacterial small subunit ribosomal RNA
Source: RNAcentral